UUUUUGUAUGGUAAAAAUUCAUGUUUUAUCGUUUUGCCUCGUUUUGUUUAUAUUUGAUUCCUCUUUAUCUUGGAUGCUUAUUAGACCCUGAAAUUAGCAAGAAACAAACCAAAGCAUAAAACAUGGUAAUGGGAAGUAAGUCGAACGAAAUAAGGUAAAAUACUAAGACAAAAUAACUAGAAAUAACGAUGCAAAGACCACUUAAUAAACUCCCCCAAACUUAGAUUGUUG
RNAcentral lists this long non-coding RNA (231 nucleotides) under Lathyrus oleraceus (garden pea). RNAcentral describes it as "Pisum sativum (pea) long non-coding RNA (PSAT_LNC015914)". Lineage: Eukaryota; Viridiplantae; Streptophyta; Magnoliopsida; Fabales; Fabaceae. The record is from RNAcentral.